Molecule: long non-coding RNA, 752 nt
Organism: Xenia sp. Carnegie-2017
Lineage: Eukaryota; Metazoa; Cnidaria; Anthozoa; Malacalcyonacea; Xeniidae
Exons: 2
Source: RefSeq, a predicted model, not a curated record
CAUUGAAUGACAUAUGUCAUCUCCACUGGCGUUCAUAUACUUCAAUGCAAAAACAAACGAUUUCUGCAGAUAUUUAUAACGACCAUGUCAUUGUACAAUUUGCAUAGCAGGUAGCUAAAUUUGCGGGCUUGCUAUGCAAAAGGAGAGCUUCGAAUGACUUGAUAUGUCGUGCUUUUAAACUAUUCUUGACUGAACUUGAACUUACAAGAAAUGACUUGUCACUCAUGAGGGCCGCCAUCAAAACGGAAAAACAAUGUGUUUUUUUUUGAAAACACACAUAUUAUAAAUAUUUGGCACCCAAGCAAUCGGUUAGCAAGGGCGACACCCUGAACGGUGCUAUUUAUGACAAUACAGAUAAGAUAAUAAAUCAAAAUUGAGUCGACUUAUGUCAUGAAAAUUUACAUCUCUGGUGCAAGAUCUACGAUGUUAUACAAAGUGGAACGUAUUGUUUGAGGGAAUAUGAAAUGGGAUUUCUGAGAAAAGCCGAAAAACCAUGGUAUGAGAAAUGUUUGUUGCGAAAAUGGAGAAACAGAGAAUAGACGUGCGAUCUGGUGGGGAGAAGUUGGGAUUCAAGGAAACGUUUGUUCAUAUGACACAUGGCAACGUUCUAAGAAUAUUUUGAAGGUUAUUGCUUUGACUUGUUAUAUAGAUAGUUCAGUUUUACUCUGUCAGUCAGUCUUCUAUUAAAACGACGAUUUUCCCAUUAUUACAGUUAUAUUUGCCCAUUAAAUUUAGCUGCAUCAGAAUAGAAA